GGUGCAUUCGUCUAGAGGUCUAGGACGCCGCCCUCUCACGGCGGAAACUCGGGUUCGAAUCCCGGACGCACUA
RNAcentral lists this transfer RNA (73 nucleotides) under Parabacteroides sp. RNAcentral's name for it is "tRNA-Glu". It matches the Rfam family "tRNA". From Rfam's summary of the family: Transfer RNA (tRNA) molecules are approximately 80 nucleotides in length. Their secondary structure includes four short double-helical elements and three loops (D, anti-codon, and T loops). The record is from RNAcentral. Lineage: Bacteria; Pseudomonadati; Bacteroidota; Bacteroidia; Bacteroidales; Tannerellaceae.